CUUGGUCAUUUAGAGGAAGUAAAAGUCGUAACAAGGUUUCCGUAGGUGAACCUGCGGAAGGAUCAUUACAGUGAUACCAGCCCCCGGGCUGGACUCACCACCCUGUGUAUUAUUACUUGUUGCUUUGGCAGGCCGCGAGACCGCUCUGCGAUCGAGCGCCGGCUCCGGCUGGACAGCGCCUGCCAGAGGACCCAACUCUGUUAUCAGUGAUGUCUGAGUACUAUUUAAUAGUUAAAACUUUCAACAACGGAUCUCUUGGUUCUGGCAUCGAUGAAGAACGCAGCGAAAUGCGAUAAGUAAUGUGAAUUGCAGAAUUCAGUGAAUCAUCGAAUCUUUGAACGCACAUUGCGCCCCUUGGUAUUCCGAGGGGCAUGCCUGUUCGAGCGUCAUUAUAACCCAUCACGCCCAGCGUGGUCUUGGGGCUCGCGUCCAGCGGCCCUUGAAACCAGUGGCGGUGUCCGUUGGGCUCUAAGCGUAGUAAUCUACCCUCGCUUCUGGGCUCUGCGGGCGCCUGCCAUAACCCAACUUUCUCAGGUUGACCUCGGAUCAGGUAGGGAUACCCGCUGAACUUAAGCAUAUCAAUAAGCGGAGGA
This 593-nucleotide ribosomal RNA is filed under the name uncultured fungus. RNAcentral describes it as "eukaryotic LSU rRNA". The stretch from base 236 to 389 matches the Rfam family "5.8S ribosomal RNA". Lineage: Eukaryota; Fungi. The record is from RNAcentral.